This 440-nucleotide long non-coding RNA is filed under the name Zostera marina. RNAcentral's name for it is "long non-coding RNA (ZMAR_LNC002019)". Lineage: Eukaryota; Viridiplantae; Streptophyta; Magnoliopsida; Alismatales; Zosteraceae. The record is from RNAcentral.
UUUGAAAACAGUAAUUAUUGAACAUCAAAGGAUUGGAUAGAGCUAUCAGACUUCCCAUCAUUGGCAGGUGGAUCUAGGAUUUUUUUAGCACGUCAAACAAAAUUAAAUUCUAAUGAAAUCGAUGAAUAAGAAUUCAGAAUUAAGAGUAUGAAGUGAUAUUGUGAAGUGUAAAUAAAUAUGUAACUCAACUUCUACUCAAGUAAUAAAAUUGAAGCCAAACAGGUAAAAUAUAAUUAGAAGUAAGAACUAAAGUAAAAAAAAAAACUAAAACUAAAUAAUAAAAAAAAAACCUUAUCUAACCUAACCCCCAAAAAAAACUUCUCAAGAUUCAGGGACAAUCAAAAGCCAAGAAUACUUUCUCACUGUAAAAUAGCAAUCAAAAUAUCGAAUAGCCAAUUAUGUAAAUUUAAAUGAAAAUUGAGAAUUUGAGAGCCAAGUAA